AUGAUGAUGAUGACAUACUCCAUGGUCCCGAUCAAGGUCCUAUUGGAAUUAUGUAACAGCAGAAAAGACAUGUGUUUAACAGGACCACCAGGACCUCCAGGAAUUCCAGGUGUGGAUGGGAAGCCAGGAUUCAAUGCUACAGAUGGUAUUCCAGGACCACCUGGAGUUGCAGGGAGACCUGGAAAAAAAG
Molecule: long non-coding RNA, 190 nt
Organism: Coregonus clupeaformis (lake whitefish)
Lineage: Eukaryota; Metazoa; Chordata; Actinopteri; Salmoniformes; Salmonidae
Exons: 4
Source: RefSeq, a predicted model, not a curated record